Molecule: long non-coding RNA, 200 nt
Filed under: Lathyrus oleraceus (garden pea)
Lineage: Eukaryota; Viridiplantae; Streptophyta; Magnoliopsida; Fabales; Fabaceae
Description: Pisum sativum (pea) long non-coding RNA (PSAT_LNC019338)
Source: RNAcentral
UGGCUGUUAGAGGAGAUGUGAACCAUGACAUGUAGUUCAAUCUACCUAAUAGACCACGAACCUCUUUCUGUUUUCGGUUCAGGCACUUUCUUGUAUUUUUUCUAUAUUUUUUUUUUUUUAGCAGGAUCGACCUCGAUUCCUCCUUCACUUACAAUGAACCCCAGCAUCUUACCGGACCGUACUUUGAUAGUGCACUGAUC